RNAcentral lists this ribosomal RNA (253 nucleotides) under uncultured archaeon. Its description in RNAcentral is "partial 16S ribosomal RNA". It matches the Rfam family "Archaeal small subunit ribosomal RNA", at positions 474 to 726 of the family's 1478-position model. The record is from RNAcentral.
UCCCAGCGCUCCAAGUCGCAGCCACAAUUAUUGGGUCUAAAACAUUCGUAGCUUGUUUAAUAAGUUUCUUGUGAAAUCUUGUCUCUUAAAGGCAAGGCGUGCAAGAAGUACUAUUAGACUCGAGACCGGAAGAAGCGAGAAGUACAAUAGAGGUAGUGGUAAAAUACGUUAAUCUUUAUUGGACUAACAACAGCGAAGGCAUCUCGCUAGUACGGAUCUGACAGUGAGGAAUGAAGGCUAGGGUCGCAAAACG